ACGGAAGGCAGCAGUGGGGAAUAUUGCACAAUGGGGGAAACCCUGAUGCAGCGACGCCGCGUGAGUGAAGAAGUUAUUCGUAAUGUAAAGCUCUAUCAGCAGGGAAGAAAAUGACGGUACCUGACUAAGAAGCCCCGGCUAACUACGUGCCAGCAGCCGCGGUAAUACGUAGGGGGCAAGCGUUAUCCGGAUUUACUGGGUGUAAAGGGAGCGUAGACGGUCUAGCAAGUCUGAUGUGAAAGGCAGGGGCUCAACUCCUGGACUGCAUUGGAAACUGUUAGUCUUGAGUGACGGAGAGGUAAGCGGAAUUCCUAGUGUAGCGGUGAAAUGCGUAGAUAUUAGGAGGAACACCAGUGGCGAAGGCGGCUUACUGGACGAUAACUGACGUUGAGGCUCGAAAGCGUGGGGAGCAAACAGGAUUAGAUACCCUGGUA
This 434-nucleotide ribosomal RNA is filed under the name uncultured Lachnospiraceae bacterium. RNAcentral describes it as "bacterial SSU rRNA". It matches the Rfam family "Bacterial small subunit ribosomal RNA", at positions 341 to 792 of the family's 1533-position model. The record is from RNAcentral. Lineage: Bacteria; Bacillati; Bacillota; Clostridia; Lachnospirales; Lachnospiraceae.